AAGUCGUAACAAGGUUUCCGUAGGUGAACCGUGCGGAAGGAUCAUUGACAAGGAGGGCUACCGAACGCUGGAAACAGCGGUUAGGAGCUUACACCCCACCCGUGUUUUACAUACUAUUGUUGCUUUGGCGGGCCGUGGCCUCCACUCGGGCUCUGCUCGUGUGUGCCCGCCAGAGGACCAAACUCUGAAUGUUAGUGAUGUCUGAGUACUAUCUAAUGGUUAAAA
Molecule: unclassified non-coding RNA, 225 nt
Filed under: plant metagenome
Description: partial contains small subunit ribosomal RNA and internal transcribed spacer 1
Rfam family: Eukaryotic small subunit ribosomal RNA (bases 1-47)
Source: RNAcentral